UCAAAUGAAUUGACGGGGGCCCGCACAAGCGGUGGAGCAUGUGGUUUAAUUCGAUGCAACGCGAAGAACCUUACCUACUCUUGACAUCCAGCGAACUUUCCAGAGAUGGAUUGGUGCCUUCGGGAACGCUGAGACAGGUGCUGCAUGGCUGUCGUCAGCUCGUGUUGUGAAAUGUUGGGUUAAGUCCCGCAACGAGCGCAACCCUUAUCCUUUGUUGCCAGCGAUUCGGUCGGGAACUCAAAGGAGACUGCCGGUGAUAAACCGGAGGAAGGUGGGGAUGACGUCAAGUCAUCAUGGCCCUUACGAGUAGGGCUACACACGUGCUACAAUGGCGCAUACAAAGAGAAGCGACCUCGCGAGAGCAAGCGGACCUCAUAAAGUGCGUCGUAGUCCGGAUCGGAGUCUGCAACUCGACUCCGUGAAGUCGGAAUCGCUAGUAAUCGUGGAUCAGAAUGCCACGGUGAAUACGUUCCCGGGCCUUGUACACACCGCCCGUCACACCAUGGGAGUGGGUUGCAAAAGAAGUAGGUAGCUUAACCUCCGGGAGGGCGCUUACCACUUUGUGAUU
Molecule: ribosomal RNA, 568 nt
Filed under: Pantoea sp. DJM4F9
Lineage: Bacteria; Pseudomonadati; Pseudomonadota; Gammaproteobacteria; Enterobacterales; Erwiniaceae
Description: bacterial SSU rRNA
Rfam family: Bacterial small subunit ribosomal RNA
Source: RNAcentral